This 290-nucleotide transfer-messenger RNA is filed under the name Elusimicrobiota bacterium. Its description in RNAcentral is "Elusimicrobia bacterium (groundwater metagenome) transfer-messenger RNA". It matches the Rfam family "transfer-messenger RNA". Rfam says of the family: Bacterial tmRNA, also known as 10Sa RNA or SsrA, is named for its dual tRNA and mRNA-like properties. Its role is to liberate the mRNA from a stalled ribosome. The record is from RNAcentral. Lineage: Bacteria; Pseudomonadati; Elusimicrobiota.
GGGGGCGAAUAGGUUCGACGUUAACUUGUUCUGCCGGAUCAGCAGGCCAUGGUUGACCAGGCCAUGUAAAACAGGGUCAAAAAAACAAAAGCCAACUCCAACGAGAUGGCCUGGGCGCACGCUUAAGUGNNUGGGGCGCGCUUCGUCCCUGGAAGGCAAAAGACUAAACGGAGCUUGGCCGGUUAUUGUCGUCCUGAACUUAUGCCGGCCGAGACACACUCAGGGCUAAGCCUGUAGCGGUUCCGACAAGCUGUUGACGGACCCGGGUGCGAAUCCCGGCGCCUCCAUAA